GAUUAGAUACCCUAUUAUUUUAAGAUAUACACAGGUAAUAUUAGAUUUAUGUUCUUCAAACCUAAAGAAUAUGGCGGUGUUUAAUUAUAAUUAGAGGAACCUGUUUAUUAAUCGAUAAUCCACGAAAAUCUUACUUAAAUUAAAAGUUUGUAUACCAUCGUUUGAAAUAAUAUUUAAAAAUUCUAUUUCUACAUAUACAUAAAUAAAAUGUCAGAUCAUGGUGCAGCAAUAUUUAAGAUUAAAUUGGUUACAUUCUAUAAUCUAUCGACGUUAUCUGAAUUUAAAAAUCACAAAAGCAGAAUUUAAAUGUAAUAAUAAACUAUAAUUUUAUAAUGAAUAUUUACAAAACAUGCACAUAUCGCCCGUC
RNAcentral lists this ribosomal RNA (367 nucleotides) under Mesamphisopus sp. 3-GG-2003. Its description in RNAcentral is "partial 12S ribosomal RNA". The record is from RNAcentral. Lineage: Eukaryota; Metazoa; Arthropoda; Malacostraca; Isopoda; Amphisopidae.